GUGGGUGUAGCUCAGUGGUAGAGCACGUGUUUAGCAUGCACGAGGUCGUGGAUUCAUUCCCCAGUACCUCCA
This 72-nucleotide transfer RNA is filed under the name Camelus bactrianus (Bactrian camel). It matches the Rfam family "tRNA". From Rfam's summary of the family: Transfer RNA (tRNA) molecules are approximately 80 nucleotides in length. Their secondary structure includes four short double-helical elements and three loops (D, anti-codon, and T loops). Further hydrogen bonds mediate the characteristic L-shaped molecular structure. tRNAs have two regions of fundamental functional importance: the anti-codon, which is responsible for specific mRNA codon recognition, and the 3' end, to which the tRNAs corresponding amino acid is attached (by aminoacyl-tRNA synthetases). tRNAs cope with the degeneracy of the genetic code in two manners: having more than one tRNA (with a specific anti-codon) for a particular amino acid; and 'wobble' base-pairing, i.e. permitting non-standard base-pairing at the 3rd anti-codon position. The record is from Rfam by way of RNAcentral. RNAcentral also lists the same sequence under 1 other name. Lineage: Eukaryota; Metazoa; Chordata; Mammalia; Artiodactyla; Camelidae.